UUAAGUUCAGCGGGUAGUCCUACCUGAUCUGAGGUCAAAUGACAUAUAUGCUUUGUCUUUCGACAGUUAGAAGCAACCUUUGACUUGACUCCAACAAUGCUUUUUUCUUAUCACAUUGUGUGAUCCAAGCAGAUCACUAAUGCAUUUAGGAUGAGUCGUAAAUCACACAACAACAUCCACAUCCAACUUCAAUCAACAAA
This 200-nucleotide unclassified non-coding RNA is filed under the name uncultured Radiigera. Its description in RNAcentral is "sequence contains ITS2". Lineage: Eukaryota; Fungi; Basidiomycota; Agaricomycetes; Geastrales; Geastraceae. The record is from RNAcentral.